UGAGGAAUAUUGCACAAUGGGCGCAAGCCUGAUGCAGCGACGCCGCGUGGGGGAUGACGGCCUUCGGGUUGUAAACCUCUUUCACCAUCGACGAAAGUCCGGGUUUUCUCGGAUUGACGGUAGGUGGAGAAGAAGCACCGGCCAACUACGUGCCAGCAGCCGCGGUAAUACGUAGGGUGCGAGCAUUGUCCGGAAUUACUGGGCGUAAAGAGCUCGUAGGUGGUUUGUCGCGUUGUUCGUGAAAUCUCACGGCUUAACUGUGAGCGUGCGGGCGAUACGGGCAGACUAGAGUACUGCAGGGGAGACUGGAAUUCCUGGUGUAGCGGUGGAAUGCGCAGAUAUCAGGAGGAACACCGGUGGCGAAGGCGGGUCUCUGGGCAGUAACUGACGCUGAGGAGCGAAAGCGUGGGGAGCGAACAGGAUUAGAUACCCUGGUAGUCCACGCCGUAAACGGUGGGUACUAGGUGUGGGUUUCCUUCCUUGGGAUCCGUGCCGUAGCUAACGCAUUAAGUACCCCGCCUGGGGAGUACGGCCGCAAGGCUA
Molecule: ribosomal RNA, 543 nt
Filed under: uncultured bacterium
Lineage: Bacteria
Description: bacterial SSU rRNA
Rfam family: Bacterial small subunit ribosomal RNA
Source: RNAcentral